UAGGUGUGAGCCCCCCCCCACCUCCUGCACCGUCCUGGGACCACUGGGAACCUGUCUGCUCCCAGCGUAGAGCCCUGAGAGUUGCUCUAACUUGCACCGGCUGCUGGUAGCCCAAAGGGACCAUUGCAGCAGCUAGGAAUAGCCACGAUGUAGAAGUGCCCCCUGGUUCCCAGCCCUUCCCUUCUCUUCUCCAUGGUUCCCUGUAGUAGGAGGGGAGAUAGAGCUGGCUGGACUGACUCAACCUGCCAGGGACUUCCCCCUAUGCUGGAGCAACACCCCAAGGCCGAUCCAGCUGUUUUACAGCCCUCCCCUCGGGGCAGCUCUGAAGUGGGCCCUUAGAAUUUCCACACUCCAGGGGAGCAGCGAGUAGCAUUUUGCAAGGCUGCGCUGGAGCGUUUGUGAAGCGCCAACCAGGAUGUAUUACACUUCUGUGCAGUCACAGGACGGAGAAAAGAUUUUGAACAUUUUCUUUGCAACCCCAAGGACUAUAAACUUCCUUCUUUUAAACAAAAACUUUAAUUCUUCAGCCCAGUGUGGGGAAAGGAGUGUCUUGCUAAGCUGCCGCAAGUGGGCCCUUGCGAUGAAGUGACUGUUGGCCAGUGCGGAGUGUGGUAUUUCCAGCUGCAGUUGCAAUGGGAAGGCUGGUAGGGAAGCAGCAAGGGCACCUCCUUGCAUGCCUGCAUUGGGGAGACAGAUUCAAAUCAAUAUGGCAGGAGACAGUGGAGUGCCUGAGGAGUGGCAAACCAAUCAGUGCUGCAGGCACAGGAAGUUACUCUGAAGUGGACAAAAACCAGAGAGGAAUCUCAUGGGCCUGGUUGCUUCCCCCUGUCCCGUCUGACAAGCACCUGAU
This is a long non-coding RNA of Mauremys reevesii (Reeves's turtle), 850 nucleotides long. RefSeq lists it as uncharacterized. The transcript is spliced from 3 exons. The record is from RefSeq and is a predicted model, not a curated record. NCBI's taxonomy places the organism in Eukaryota, Metazoa, Chordata, Testudines, Geoemydidae.